Molecule: non-coding RNA, 305 nt
Organism: Schizosaccharomyces pombe (fission yeast)
Lineage: Eukaryota; Fungi; Ascomycota; Schizosaccharomycetes; Schizosaccharomycetales; Schizosaccharomycetaceae
Source: the annotation of a GenBank genome assembly
CACUGAAGAUUUCGUUAAAGGCAAAGGCAUUUCAUAUACCAGUCUGUAGAAACAUCUAAGAAUUUCACAGAAAGCGUCUGUGAAACAUUUUUUUGCAUUGAGCAUACACGUUCGUAUUGAAACUAAGCAAUUAACGAUGUCUUGGGUCAAAAAAGGGACAUUAUUGCUACAAGAUACAAAAUCUUUAGUAUCACCGCAUAAAAACGAACAUUUGAAGCUGUCAUCGCCGGAAUCAUUUACCAAAUACUGCACUAAUUCGUCAAGCCAAGUCUUCUGAAAAGCACAUUCACACUCUAAAACCAGCU